Molecule: ribosomal RNA, 379 nt
Filed under: uncultured bacterium
Lineage: Bacteria
Description: bacterial SSU rRNA
Rfam family: Bacterial small subunit ribosomal RNA
Source: RNAcentral
UAGGAAUCUGCCUGGUAGUGGGGGAUAACGUUCCGAAAGGAACGCUAAUACCGCGUACGUCCUACGGGAGAAAGCAGGGGACCUUCGGGCCUUGCGCUAUCAGAUGAGCCUAGGUCGGAUUAGCUAGUUGGUGAGGUAAUGGCUCACCAAGGCGACGAUCCGUAACUGGUCUGAGAGGAUGAUCAGUCACACUGGAACUGAGACACGGUCCAGACUCCUACGGGAGGCAGCAGUGGGGAAUAUUGGACAAUGGGCGAAAGCCUGAUCCAGCCAUGCCGCGUGUGUGAAGAAGGUCUUCGGAUUGUAAAGCACUUUAAGUUGGGAGGAAGGGCAGUAGGUUAAUACCUUGCUGUUUUGACGUUACCGACAGAAUAAGCAC